GAAGGAAUGCCAAGUAACCCUUGUAGUGUGCAGACAAGAUAGAUGAGGAUUAAGUCCCUACAGUGAGCCCUGGGAACAGCAAAUAUGCAGUAACCUGAAAAUUCUAUCCACAUCUUUUGCCUUUAAUUAACACUUACAGGGGCUUUCCAACGAGGCUCGAGAAGCAGGGUGCUGGGGGACAGGAAAAGACCACCCUGCAGGCAUGCAGUAAAUUUCCAGCAACAGAGGAAGAUCAGGAUACAACAGCAAAAAUACUUUUGUAGGAAACAAAAUUGCUUCAGAGAUAACACAACUGUCCCUGAAGCCAGAAAAAUGAGGAGAGCUGUGGAUACACAUGGGUAACUGACUGUGAGGAAAAUUGGAAUUGUUCAAAUCCUGAUGUGGCUACCAGCAUCACCAUACAACUUGAGAGCAUCAGAAAGAAAGGAAUGCUAACAGACUUUGAGACACUUCAGAGCUAGUGUUAGAGUCCUGUAGAGAAUACUGUAAAUAAUGCAGAAGGCCAUUAUGAUAUUCUUUGUGUGCAAUUACUUUGUUUUGAAAUAAAGAGUAAUGUAAAUUUCAGUCUGUACUUAAGAUAGCAACAAAAAGAGCAGUAUACUAUUCCUGUGUAAAAACUAACUGUAAAGGAAGCAGUAGGGUUUCACUAAGGCAACAAGAAAAUUUCAGGAGUAGGAUGCAUAUAAAGCUGCUCAGAAUUGCAGGAAGACUAAGCUGUGUUUCAGCUUAGAAAUCUUUCCCUACUAGCUGAGAUACUUAGAAUGUUAUACUCCUUUGUGUACCUCUUUGAACGUUGCUCUCUUUUUAAGCAGUAAGGUUCUUAAACCCUGUUAAGGCUCCCUUAAGUUCUGACAUCAAUGAGAAUUAGGUACCUUCAACUAAAGAAGUGCUAGACAACGCAAGAAUUGAUGUGCUGGGAAAAUAAGGCCAUGAGCCAUGGUAAUGAAAGGAUCUCUAGGAGUCCCCAGCUAACAAUAUUAUAGCAGGUUUAUGAAAGGAAACAUCUAGUGACUUAAUGGGUAACAUUGAUAGGAUUAAAAGGGUGCAGUUGAUUAGCAUUAUCUGCUUAAGAACAAAAUCACAUUAAAAGUAGGAGGUCAUAGGAUUUAAGGAUUAAGAAUAUUCAAAUUUACUAUUUUUUUUUUUUAAACUUGUCUAGCCUCUAGGUGGUCUCUUUAGCCACAAUAUCAGUUAUUUGGUCUGGGAAAUAACAGUGGAAUGUGAUUGGCAGAUAAAUAGUUUGAGUUAUGUGCAGAGACAUUUGUUCUACUUGUAAAACCACUUAAAAAUCUUUGCAUUGGAAAGAUUUGUUAUUUUUAAAAGUCCUUAAUAGCUAGCCAAGGAAAGCCAAGACGGUUAAUCUUUUUCUCAACACCAAUCCCAAUGUGUUUUCAGAGACAGAUGAGAUGAGAGACAAGAAUUUGCUGUUAACAGACAGCAUUAGAAUUGCUAGAUAAUGCCAUAGUACUCACCUGAAAUGGGUUAUUGUUUAAGUAGUAAUAGAAGAACUCAGUGAUAAUCUCAAGAUGUUUUCCAUACAACUAACAUGGCCAUGGUAUCUGCUGGUCUGUGUAGCCCUGGCACAAGGAGAGAGCUGGAGAUGGGAACAGAUUAACUGUGGCCUCCCCAACAAUGUUUAGGUCUCACCUUCUGAGAACAUACAAGCUACUACUGUCUUGAUACUCUCUCUAAUCCAACAUUAUGGCAUGGCUAUAUUGGUCACGCUGUGUUAGCAAAUCUCACAAGUGAGGAACUGUUAUUUUUCUGAUGCUUUUAGCUGCUGAAAUGGGAAAUAGCCCUUUCUAAGGAAUGCGAUGUAAUGUUGUGGACAAGAUAUCUGAUCAGCUAAUGUCUGCUCCUGCCAGACAGAUGACAAAUAUUGUUAAAUCAGCCACUGUCAGGUGCAAUUCCCUUCUUAGCAGCUUCACGUGAUCCAUUAGCAAGUCAAUGUACCAGAGCUUGAAUUUUUUUUUUUUAUUGUUGCUGCCUUGUUCUCCUCUAAUACAGGAAAAAUACUGCUCAUGAUAGGCUUCUUGAUGCUCCUUUCAGUUGCUUCCCCCCCCCAGUACCUGAGCCUUUUGCACAGAAAAACAGCACUGAUAUAAAAGAGUGAAAAAUUGAUUCUUUUUAGAACACAAAUCCAACUAUUUCCUCAGCAACACACAUUACUUAUGGUAAUAUGGUUGGUACCUUUUUCAUCCCCAAAGUUGAAAAUCUUUGAAUGUUAUUCCAAAACCAACUGGCAAUGGCAAGAUCCUUGCUCAUGUUUGCAUUCACUUCAUCCCAUGCUAUGUUUAAAUAGAUGACAAAACAUGCUGAGAACAUUGUGGUAAACACACCAAAUCUUCAAUAUUUGUGGGUGAGUGAAUUUGAAAGCGUGUUUUAGUAGCCUGCUAAUUCCUGUUUGAAACAUCCUCUGCCUGUAUAGUUGAUGCUGUUUUUUCCUCUUGCUUUUUCAUAAAAAAAUCAGCAUGAAACCAAAUAUAAUAGAAUACACUCAUAAAUAAACCUGUUAACUAUCUCAAAUAGUGCAAUAAAAAUACA
Molecule: non-coding RNA, 2544 nt
Organism: Meleagris gallopavo (turkey)
Lineage: Eukaryota; Metazoa; Chordata; Aves; Galliformes; Phasianidae
Source: RefSeq, a predicted model, not a curated record